Molecule: long non-coding RNA, 278 nt
Filed under: Hordeum vulgare
Lineage: Eukaryota; Viridiplantae; Streptophyta; Magnoliopsida; Poales; Poaceae
Description: long non-coding RNA (HVUL_LNC007363)
Source: RNAcentral
CGGGGCUUCAAAAAUAGGGCAAGAUAUUAGAAGGCUCUCGGAUUUGGAAUCGCUCCAAUUGGAGUUGAUUUGAAUGCUGAAGGAACUUUUGAAAGGUGGGCUAGGAGCAUUUAAAUCUAUAUUUGAAUAAUAAUGCAACAUAAUAGUUGCUUGGAAAAAUGUGCAAGGCACAUAUAUGGAUAGCCCUGAAUUUUAGGAACCUGCAGGAGUUUGAAUAUAAAAAAUUGGAGUGAAUAUGAAUUUACUAAGGAUUUAUGAAUCUUGUCAGAAAAAGAAAA